This 130-nucleotide small nucleolar RNA is filed under the name Hucho hucho (huchen). Its description in RNAcentral is "Small nucleolar RNA SNORA63 (ENSHHUG00000024787.1)". It matches the Rfam family "Small nucleolar RNA SNORA63". From Rfam's summary of the family: E3 belongs to the H/ACA class of snoRNAs and is involved in the processing of eukaryotic pre-rRNA and has regions of complementarity to 18S rRNA. Lineage: Eukaryota; Metazoa; Chordata; Actinopteri; Salmoniformes; Salmonidae. The record is from Rfam by way of RNAcentral.
AAGCAGGAUAUGUUACAGUGCAGCUUGUUCAGUGCUGUUAUGUCGUUCCCCCUGCACACAUCAACUAGUUUCCUACUAUCCCUGUCUGUCUUGCAUCCCACAGCUGGCAGGGACGCUUGAUCUCAGACAC